Molecule: unclassified non-coding RNA, 363 nt
Filed under: uncultured bacterium
Lineage: Bacteria
Description: contains 16S-23S intergenic spacer region
Source: RNAcentral
UCCCGAUUGGCUCGGGCAGUCUCGUGUGACAUAUCUAACACACGACAAGGGUUGCGCUCGUUGCGGGACUUAACCCAACAUCUCACGACACGAGCUGACGACGGCCAUGCAACACCUGUCACUAGGGCCCGAAGGCACUCCCCUGUUUCCAAGGGAUUCCUAGGAUGUCAAGCCUUGGUAAGGUUCUUCGCGUAGCAUCGAAUUAAACCACAUGCUCCACUGCUUGUGCGGGUCCCCGUCAAUUCCUUUGAGUUUUAGCCUUGCGGCCGUACUCCCCAGGCGGGAUGCUUAACGCGUUAGCUUCGCAACGCAAAGGGUCGAUACUUCACACUACUAGCAUCCAUCGUUUACGGCGUGGACUAC